UUCUAAGACUGUGGGCAUCUGCAGAGACAGUGACGUCACCAUGGGAACUGCCAAUGAGGACACGGUCCACCCGUCCUCCUCUGCUCCUGCUCACAAGGACCCUGAGCUGCUGGACCUCCCAUCGCUGCCCUGACCCUGCCAUGGGCACCAGGCUCCUCUGCUGGGCGACCCUCUGUCUCUUGGGGGCAGAACUCACAGAAGGUGGAGUCGCCCAGUCCCCCAGACAUAAGAUCACAGAGGAAAGACAGGCUGUGGCUUUGUGGUGUGAUCCUAUUUCUGGCCACAGUUUCCUUUACUGGUACCGGCAGACCUUGGAACAGGACCUGGAGCUACUGAUUCUCUUUGAGGAAACGGCAGGAAUAAAUGUUUUACAGUCACCUAAGAAUCGAUUUUCUGCAGAGAGGCCCAGCGGAGCAAACUCCACUCUCAAGAUCCAGUCUGCAGAGCUCGGGGACUCGGCUGUGUAUUUGUGUGCCAGCAGCUUAGCCAUAGCUUUGCAGACACCCCUCCUUCCUGUGCACAAACCUCAUGAUCCUCCCUCUCUCUGGAGCUCACGGCAGCUCGAGACAGAGGCCACCCCUUACUCCUCAUCACGCAAGGAGAAGAGGUUGCAGAGACCAUCUAUGACACAUCCACAGGGAGGACACGUAUGA
Molecule: non-coding RNA, 653 nt
Organism: Camelus dromedarius (Arabian camel)
Lineage: Eukaryota; Metazoa; Chordata; Mammalia; Artiodactyla; Camelidae
Source: the annotation of a RefSeq genome assembly